CUACGGAGGGUGCGAGCGUUAAUCGGAAUUACUGGGCGUAAAGCGUACGUAGGCGGUUGGUUAAGUUAGAUGUGAAAGCCCCGGGCUUAACCUGGGAACUGCAUUUAAAACUGGCGAACUAGAGUUGAGUAGAGGGGAGUGGAAUUUCAGGUGUAGCGGUGAAAUGCGUAGAGAUCUGAAGGAACACCAGUGGCGAAGGCGACUCCCUGGACUCGAACUGACGCUGAGGUACGAAAGCGUGGGUAGCAAACGGGAUUAGAUACCCUAGUAGUCC
Molecule: ribosomal RNA, 274 nt
Filed under: uncultured bacterium
Lineage: Bacteria
Description: partial 16S ribosomal RNA
Rfam family: Bacterial small subunit ribosomal RNA
Source: RNAcentral